RNAcentral lists this ribosomal RNA (2494 nucleotides) under Clostridioides difficile. RNAcentral's name for it is "partial 23S ribosomal RNA". It matches the Rfam family "Bacterial large subunit ribosomal RNA", at positions 187 to 2703 of the family's 2925-position model. Lineage: Bacteria; Bacillati; Bacillota; Clostridia; Peptostreptococcales; Peptostreptococcaceae. The record is from RNAcentral.
AGGGAACUGAAACAUCUAAGUACCUGAAGGAAGAGAAAGAAAUUCGAUUCCGUAAGUAGCGGCGAGCGAACGCGGAUUAGCCCAAACCAAUAAAGUUUUCUUUAUUGGGGUUGCGGACAUAUCAUAACGAAGAGGUAUCGUAAUUGAAGAGGUUUGGAAAGACCCACCACAGAAGGUAAUAGUCCUGUAUGUUAAACGAGAAGACUUCAGAUAUGAUCCAGAGUACCACGGGACACGUGAAACCCUGUGGGAAGCAGGAGGGACCACCCUCCAAGGCUAAAUACUACCUAGUGACCGAUAGCGUAUAGUACCGUGAGGGAAAGGUGAAAAGAACCCCGGGAGGGGAGUGAAAUAGAACCUGAAACCCUGCACUUACAAGCUGUGGAAGCACAUUUCUUGUGUGACCGCGUACUUUUUGUAGAACGGGCCAACGAGUUACGUUAAGUAGCAAGGUUAAGCACUUAAGGUGCGGAGCCGUAGCGAAAGCGAGUUUUAACUGAGCGUUCAGUUACUUGACGUAGACCCGAAACCGGGCGACCUACCCAUGAGCAGGAUGAAGCGAAAGUAAAAUUUCGUGGAGGUCCGAACCCACGAGCGUUGAAAAGCUCGGGGAUGACUUGUGGGUAGCGGUGAAAUUCCAAUCGAGCCCGGAGAUAGCUGGUUCUCCCCGAAAUAGCUUUAGGGCUAGCCUCAAGGUGAGAGAUACGGAGGUAGAGCACUGAAUGUCCUAGGGGGUAUUGCACCUACCGAAGACUAUCAAACUCCGAAUGCCGUCAUCUUAUACUUGGGAGUCAGACUGUGGGUGAUAAGAUUCAUAGUCGAAAGGGCAACAGCCCAGAUCGUCAGCUAAGGUCCCUAAAUGUAAGUUAAGUGGUAAAGGAUGUGGGAUUGCACAGACAACCAGGAUGUUGGCUUAGAAGCAGCCACUCAUUCAAAGAGUGCGUAAUAGCUCACUGGUCGAGUGAUCCUGCGCCGAAGAUUUCCGGGGCUAAAACUUACUACCGAAGCUACGGCAUCAGUAAUGAUGGGUAGGGGAGCUUCCCAUACGGGUUGAAGCAUGACCGUAAGGACAUGUGGACAGUAUGGGAGUGAGAAUGUUGGCAUGAGUAGCGAGAUGUGGGUGAGAAUCCCACAGGCCGUAAACCCAAGGUUUCCAGGGGAAGGUUCGUCCGCCCUGGGUUAGUCGGGACCUAAGCUGAGGCCGAAAGGCGUAGGUGAUGGACAACAGGUUGAUAUUCCUGUACUACCGAUAACCGUUUGAGAGAAGGGAUGACACAGUAGGAUAAGCUAAGCACACUGUUGGUUAUGUGUGCCCAAGCAUUGAGGCAGUCAAAGUAGGCAAAUCCGCUUUGAUAAUGCUGGGAUGUGAUGGGGAGCGAAAUUUAGUAGCGAAGUAGCUGAUUUCACACUGUCAAGAAAAGUCUCUAUCGAGGUUAAAGGUACCCGUACCGCAAACCGACACAGGUGGGUGAGGAGAGUAUCCUAAGGCCAGCGAGAGAACUGUUGUUAAGGAACUCGGCAAAAUGACCCCGUAACUUAGGGAUAAGGGGUGCCACCAUCAGGUGGCCGCAGAGAAUAGGCCCAAGCGACUGUUUACCAAAAACAUAGGUUUCUGCUAAGUCGCAAGACGAUGUAUAGGAGCUGACGCCUGCCCGGUGCUGGAAGGUUAAGGGGAUCUGUUAGAGCAAUCGAAGCAGUGAACUUAAGCCCCAGUAAACGGCGGCCGUAACUAUAACGGUCCUAAGGUAGCGAAAUUCCUUGUCGGGUAAGUUCCGACCCGCACGAAAGGCGUAACGAUUUGGGCACUGUCUCAACAACAGACUCGGUGAAAUUGUAAUUCCGGUGAAGAUGCCGGAUACCUGCGACAGGACGGAAAGACCCCAUGGAGCUUUACUGUAGCUUGACAUUGGGUCUUGGUACUACAUGUACAGGAUAGGUGGGAGGCUUUGAAACCAGGACGCCAGUUUUGGCGGAGCCAUCCUUGGGAUACCACCCUUGUAGUACUGGGACUCUAACCAUAGGCCAUGAAUCUGGUCUUGGGACACUGUCAGGUGGGCAGUUUGACUGGGGCGGUCGCCUCCCAAAAGGUAACGGAGGCGCUCAAAGGUUCUCUCAGUACGGUCGGAAAUCGUACGUAGAGUGUAAAGGCAAAAGAGAGCUUGAUUGCAAGACAUACAGGUCGAGCAAGGAUGAAAAUCGGACUUAGUGAUCCGGUGGUUCUGCGUGGAAGGGCCAUCGCUCAACGGAUAAAAGCUACCCUGGGGAUAACAGGCUUAUCUCCCCCAAGAGUCCACAUCGACGGGGAGGUUUGGCACCUCGAUGUCGGCUCAUCACAUCCUGGGGCUGUAGUAGGUCCCAAGGGUUGGGCUGUUCGCCCAUUAAAGUGGUACGCGAGCUGGGUUCAGAACGUCGUGAGACAGUUCGGUCCCUAUCCGUCGCAGGCGUAGGAAAUUUGAGAAGACCUGUCCUUAGUACGAGAGGACCGGGAUGGACG